CUUCAAGCCCCAGGAAGAGCCUCUGUUCCAUAAUUGGGAGCUGGGCAGAAGAAGGGAGCCCCAGUCUCCCACUUGACCCAACUGGGGCUCCGCCUCAGGCAGCUGGGCCGGAUAAGAGGCCAUGAAGUCCUCCUCCUCCUCCUCCCUCCGGCUGAGUGCCAGGUAAAGAACCCUGUGCCUGGCUGCUCCAGAAAAGUCUGCUCCUUAGGACCUGGUGGGGAGAGGGAAGGAGAGGGAGGGUCUAUUCUUGGUUGCUAUGGCACAGGUUUACCUUUCUGUCUACAUUUUCAUAGAUGUUCUCGAAUAGAUCUUUGUUCACUUGCUGCCUAUCUUUAGGGCCGUUGCCAGAGGUUUUACGUGGUUAUUUUGAACAAUUACCAGCAGUUUCCCUGGCGAGUAUGCCAGCUCCUGCUGCCAUGCUGGAAGCCUUUCCCCCGGGAGUUUAUCAGAGGCAUUUCUCUGUGGUCUGGUGGCCGCCCUGAGCUGCGGCUGCAGACUCCUGGGCCCAGUGAAGGGAGGGCCGCCCUGUGGGGGUGGGGGGGGCAUGCUUCCUCUCCCCAGAUUCUGAGACAGAGGCUGAGGCCGCCCUGACCCUUCCCUGCGGUGUACCUGGGGAUCUUCGUCCUCAGGUUAGAUUUCAGAAUCUGGUGAGAAUUUCCAUCCUGUAGGUGGGGCUCUCUAGGAAUCACGGACCUUGUUCUGGAAAUCAUCAGCUUUUUCUGUCCAGUGGUUACAGCUGCCUGUGAACAUCUCAGAGAUUUCCAAAAUGGUUGAUUUGCAUGAAACUGGUGGAAACUGGCCCAGGCCGAUGAAAGCCUUACAGACGCCAUCUGCCACCUUCCUGCCUCCGGACUCUCCAUCACAGCCAGUGGCUUCUACCGGGUCUGCUAACAAAUUCCUUGUUUUUGUUUGAGAAAAUACAUUUCACCUUCACUUUCGAGGAAUAAUUUCACUAUAUGUGGAAUACUCCAGCCCUGACUAGUGCAUAGAUCGACUAAUCCUACACCAACGGAAAAGCCACAUGGUGAGAAGAGUUUCUGAGGUGUUUCCAGGUAGGAAGGCUGCUGUGGCCCACAGGACAACGUCUGAGGAGUGGCCAUGUUAAGGGAGCAGUUUACUACACAGCACAGCGUGGGGCCACACUUAAGCCCCACACUGGGGCUGGGGCAGGAGAGGCUGGGAGACCCUUCAAGCCUCAGACGGGACCGACAUGGGCCUGAGAAAGGCCCCGGGGACAAGCAUGGGAACAAUCUGGGCACCAGAGCAACUCCCAGGCCCCGCUCUCAUCCCUGCCCUCACACCUGCAGUGCUCAGCCCUGUGUGCCCAGACCGCGGGCCAGGGGACGGCACUUGUGGGCGUGGGGAGUCUGUGUCAGCAGCAGCGAGCAGGCUGCACGUAGCGCGGAAAGGGCUCAGGUGGUGUUUGUGGACACAGUGGCUCCGGCCGGAGCUGAGAGAAACGAGGGUCCACACGGGAACUGAUCCAACUGUGAAGGGCUGAAGGAGCUUCAGCCUCCCUCCUGACGGGAUCUGGACCCAAUGUGAAGAAGGACCCACAGGAGCCAUGACCCACGGGCGUCGAGCAGUCACUUGGAGAGGGAAUAGCUGGGCUUCCUCACAUUUCCAUCCACAAGGAGAGCACAGGCGUGUUUCACCUACAUUUUCUCAGCGUGCGGAAGAGGCCUUGGACUGCUAAGAUCUGAGGUGUUUCCCGUUUUGUUUGGGCCUUGACAUGAAGCUGGCUCCUACAUUCUCUCCUCUGUGCUCCAGAUGAGCUGAUGUAAUUGAACCCGUGGAAGCAUUUUAAUCCUGAGUACCGUGUGGCCUUAGCAUGAGGCGGCUCUACCCCCCGAGUUCCCAGAGCCGCCAGCUGGAAGCUCCUCUGGUUCCUGGGUGGAGGUGAAGAUCUCAGACUGCCACUGGGCACAGGGCGGGCUCCCGGAGCCCCAGCUUCCCCAAGCACCAAUGAGUGGGAAGGAGAAAAAUAGCGAAAUCUCACAGAGAGUCUGUUUUUGCCGAUUCUGCUGGUACGCCUCCUCCCGUGUUCACCUGCAUUUUGGAUAAUUAGCCUGUAGGUAGAGACACUUAGCUGUAUGCUUAACCAAAGUUAAAAUUUUAAACGUAAAUACGGUACAUUUUAUGUUAUAUACACUUUACCACAAUAAAAAAAUUCAGUUGACCUUGGCAGUUUAUUCAUUGAUUCAGUGGGGCGAUAGAUUUUGGAGUUCCUAAC
Molecule: long non-coding RNA, 2233 nt
Organism: Acinonyx jubatus (cheetah)
Lineage: Eukaryota; Metazoa; Chordata; Mammalia; Carnivora; Felidae
Exons: 3
Source: RefSeq, a predicted model, not a curated record